Molecule: ribosomal RNA, 492 nt
Filed under: uncultured bacterium
Lineage: Bacteria
Description: partial 16S ribosomal RNA
Rfam family: Bacterial small subunit ribosomal RNA
Source: RNAcentral
AGUGAACGCUGGCGGUAGGCCUAACACAUGCAAGUCGAACGGCAGCACAGUAAGAGCUUGCUCUUACGGGUGGCGAGUGGCGGACGGGUGAGGAAUACAUCGGAAUCUACUUUUUCGUGGGGGCUAACGUAGGGAAACUUACGCUAAUACCGCAUACGACCUACGGGUGAAAGCAUGGGAUCUUCGGACCUUGCGCGAUUCAAUGAGCCGAUGUCGGAUUAGCUAGUUGGCGGGGUAAAGGCCCACCAAGGCGACGAUCCGUAGCUGGUCCGAGAGGAUGAUCAGCCACACUGGAACUGAGACACGGUCCAGACUCCUACGGGAGGCAGCAGUGGGGAAUAUUGGACAAUGGGCGCAAGCCUGAUCCAGCCAUACCGCGUGGGUGAAGAAGGCCUUCGGGUUGUAAAGCACUUUUGUUGGGAAAGAAAAGCAGCAGGUUAAUACCCCGCUGUUCUGACGGUACCAAAAGAAUAAGCACCGGCUAACUUCGUG